GACGAACGCUGGCGGCGUGCCUAAUACAUGCAAGUCGUGCGGACCUUGUUGAAAGCUUGCUUUUAAAAGGUUAGCGGCGGACGGGUGAGUAACACGUGGGCAACCUGCCUGUAAGACUGGGAUAACGCCGGGAAACCGGGCCUAAUACCAGAUCGUUUUUUCCUCCGCAUGGAGGAAAAAGGAAAGGCGGCUUCGGCUGCCACUUACAGAUGGGCCCGCGGCGCAUUAGCUAGUUGGCGGGGUAAUGGCCCACCAAGGCAACGAUGCGUAGCCGACCUGAGAGGGUGAUCGGCCACAUUGGGACUGAGACACGGCCCAAACUCCUACGGGAGGCAGCAGUAGGGAAUCUUCCGCAAUGGACGAAAGUCUGACGGAGCAACGCCGCGGGAGUGAAGAAGGCCUUCGGGUCGUAAAACUCUGUUGCCGGGGAAGAACAAGUGCCGUUCGAACAGGGCGGCGCCUUGACGGUACCCGGCCAGAAAGCCACGGCUAACUACGUG
RNAcentral lists this ribosomal RNA (500 nucleotides) under uncultured bacterium. RNAcentral describes it as "partial 16S ribosomal RNA". It matches the Rfam family "Bacterial small subunit ribosomal RNA", at positions 28 to 507 of the family's 1533-position model. The record is from RNAcentral.